UCAGAGGGUUAACACGUUAGUUAAUCAGGAAAUUCAUCAGUCGACAGUCCACAGCAUUUCUUCAAUCCUGAGAAGAGAAUAUAAGAAUUGGAAUUCUUCAUUGCAUUGAGAAGCAACACGUGGAGGGGAACAAUUGCGGUAAGGAAUUAUCGUCUACGUUGUUCGAGUACGGCUGUGGCGAGCUGUUGCGGCUGAUGCACUUUGAGGGCAUUUGUCACGUCCACCAAGUCAAGCAACAUGCAUUAGCGAUCAACUCUUGAUGUUUGUGAAGAUAACCUGCCGCUGUUUCUUGAAGUCAAGAAAUAGUGCACGUUCUGCAAACUGGAGGACAGAUUGUUGACAACGGAUCCUAAUCUUCAAAAACAUCGAGUAGAGACGCUGACUGCUUACCCAGAUUUGUGUCGUCUGGCGUAAUUAUGACGAGCAGAAUGAAACACAGAAAAGAGAAAUUAUCAGGUGAUGUCGAUUCAAGUUUGCGAUAGUUGUUAAUUUUUAGGUUUAAGUAAGUUGUAAAUAAUUAUUUCGUAAUUUGAAGAAGCGAUUUCGUGUUUUCUGUAGAGUUGCCACAGGAUGUGCAGUAUUUUCUUCAAAGUUAAAUGCAAAUUUCCAAAUCAAUAUUUUUUUUCCUUUCGGUUGUUCAGUAGAGUUUAGAAUAUUACUUUCAAUGGAGUCUUCAUCUCACAAAAACGUACGAGCUACCAUAGAGUCGAAAUAUUCUGUAAAUUGUUAAAUAAAGUCAUCCAAAUCGUCAUGUAAUGAAAUCGCUUCUUUUUCUUCAGUAUUAUUAUUAUUACCCUUAAAUUGUUA
This is a long non-coding RNA of Papilio polytes (common Mormon), 807 nucleotides long. RefSeq lists it as uncharacterized. The record is from RefSeq and is a predicted model, not a curated record. The transcript is spliced from 4 exons. NCBI's taxonomy places the organism in Eukaryota, Metazoa, Arthropoda, Insecta, Lepidoptera, Papilionidae.